UCAACGGUCGGAGUAUUAUUAGCUCGAUUGAAUAAUAAGUUCGUUUAGUGUUUAGUGUUUACUGUUUACUGUUUAGUGUUUAGUUUUAGUCCGAUUUUCGAUCGUUAACGACGCGUUUCUGAUAAUCUUCACAAUGAGCAAUUCAGAUGGAGAUCAUACUAAAACAACUACAACCGCAAAAAGAAAACAUGUAAAUAUUUCUACAUUUUUUUAACAAAAAACAUAUUUUAUUAGAACCAAGUAAUAAAAUAGAAAACAUAAAUAUUCCGAUUCCAUCUACUUCUCAACUAUCUGAAAAUGAACAAAAUACUGUUUACACCAUAGAAAAUAAUAUUUUAGAACCUUCAACUUGAAUUAUGGAUUGUCAAAUGGACCAGAGUUAAAAAUGAAGAUGGUUUGGAUCAUUGUCAGGAUGUACUAUUCCCAAAUAUUAAAACAAUGCUUUUGAUUAUUGGUUGUCUACCCAUCAGUGUUGCAUCAGCUGAAAGAAGUUUUUCUACUUUGCGCAGGUUAAAGGAUUGGUUAAGAUCACGAAUGUGUCAAGAUAGAUUGAAUGGUUUAGCUUUACUUCAUGUUCAUAAGGAAAAAGAAGUAUCAACAGAUAAUAUCAUUGAACGGUUUUCAAAAGUUAAAAAAAGAAAUAUGGAAUUAAUAAUGUAAUAUCUAUUUUAUGUAUAUUUUUUUUAUAAAUAAAUAGCUAAUUUUUGU
This is a long non-coding RNA of Metopolophium dirhodum (rose-grain aphid), 708 nucleotides long. RefSeq lists it as uncharacterized. The record is from RefSeq and is a predicted model, not a curated record. The transcript has 3 exons. NCBI's taxonomy places the organism in Eukaryota, Metazoa, Arthropoda, Insecta, Hemiptera, Aphididae.